CCGUUGCUAAUUAACCGAUUUCAGACUAAAGACUUGUUCAAUUCGUGCCGCAGGCGAAUUUCUCAUUCCGGACCGGCAAAAUCGAAGAAAUAUAUGGCCGUAAUCUGGAAAGAGCAAUGAUUGAGAGAUACCGAAAAUGGAGCAGUGGAUUCGAGAGAAUUAAAGGAUUUUCGUUGAUUUGUCUAACGAUUUCAAUCUCGUUAAGGAUUUUAGUUGAUUUAUAUCCAGGAUAGCCAAGAACAUAAGAACUGAUGUGCCGGAAGGGAAGAGAGCUAAGGCAUCUGCUACUGCAAAGACAAUGAAUGAAUUGUUGUUCAAAAGAAUGGGAAGGCCAUUGACGGUGUCUCUCUUAGCAUCAUUGUAGUUGCCACCGGGUACAGUAAAAGCUGCAGCAAAUGCUACUAUAGAGAUAAGGGUUGCUACCAACAUACAUGAAUGUGAGGUACCUCUCAUCCAUUUUUCUCCCUUCAUCACUAAAUCCUUGUGUUUCUCUGUAAAUAUACCUUGAGCAGUGAUCCCAGCUUUGUUUCUCACUAGCCUGUGUCUCUCCAGUAAAAUAGAUUUCACCGCCUGAUUGAAAUAAUAGAGACAAAGUAAGGACGAAUAAACCAGCAGACUUAAGUAAUAAGUAAUAAGACUGAUUAACUUAUUAGAAAGCCUUGAAACUCCUCUUGCUUUAGGUACUGAACUACAGAUAUUUAGAUUAUGGAAAACCUGUUCCUUAGAUGGUCAUAUCGUUGUUUACCUUAAACCACUGUGCUUCUCGUUGCAUCUGAAGAGCUGCACCAGAGACUGAAUUUAGUUGGUGAGAAGGUGCGAUAUCAGCAGCAUAAUGCAAGAUAGUGUUACCUUUAUCAUCAGUUCUGGAAUUCAAUUCAUCCAUGUCUUCCUCACUCUUUUUGCAUAUUAAAUUAAAAAUGUUAUCAUUUCUUUCUGCAAUAGCAAUUUGUACCAUUGUUUGUCCCUCCAUUUCAGACUAGAGGAGGUAAGGAAAUUUUUCAAGACACUGUACAAUGACUUCCGUUGUCCCUAUGUUAUUGCUGUCUUCAUGAGGCUAGAAUUUUUGAAAAAAUCUGUAACGCCUGACUUGUUCAUAGUAACAUCUAUUUGUGCUAACA
This is a long non-coding RNA of Papaver somniferum (opium poppy), 1118 nucleotides long. RefSeq lists it as uncharacterized. The record is from RefSeq and is a predicted model, not a curated record. Lineage: Eukaryota; Viridiplantae; Streptophyta; Magnoliopsida; Ranunculales; Papaveraceae. The transcript is spliced from 2 exons.